This is a long non-coding RNA of Fundulus heteroclitus (mummichog), 1844 nucleotides long. RefSeq lists it as uncharacterized. The transcript has 8 exons. NCBI's taxonomy places the organism in Eukaryota, Metazoa, Chordata, Actinopteri, Cyprinodontiformes, Fundulidae. The record is from RefSeq and is a predicted model, not a curated record.
CAGAAAACUUACACUGCACACUGUGGACACAAGAUUUCCAUGUUUAAGCUCGGAGGUGGGAACAUCAUGCUGUGGGGAUGCCACUUUGGGAAUGCGGGGACUCUAAACAUAAAGCCAGAGCUACAAUGGGAAAGUUUAGGUCAAAGCAUAUUCAUACACUAAAACGGCCCAGUCAAAGUCCAGUUGAGAAUCUGUGGCCAGAAAAACGCUGUUCAGUUGCUUUCUUUCCACCUUGACUGAUGCUGAGCUCAGUUUUAAACAAUUGCCACAACAAUCAGCCUCCAUGCUGGUAGAUACAUAUUAAAAAAAAAACUUGCACGUGCCACACUUUUCAGAUUUCUAUUAGAAAAAAAAAAGAAAAUGGUGAAACUAUGUUCUUCCAUGUCCAUCUACGAUAACUUAAUCGGUGUUGGUCAGGAUAUACAAGUCUAAUAAAAUACACUUUUUAAGGUGACACGCGUGAUAAAGUCCAGACUCAGCGGUUAUGAAUGCAUGCUCAAGACAUUCUCUUUCUGCAUGUAGAGCUCGUGAUAUGAAAAUGGCUGUGCUAAUCAAACACAUCAUUUGUCUUUAACACCUUCAGCCAUGCACCCUCUCCUUCCUUCCCAGAGUGAAUGAGCUGCAGUCAGUGACCCAAAUCUCGCUGCAAUGAACUGCUUGACUCAGACUGUUGUUUUAUUCAGUGCACUCACUGUCAACAGACCGGCGAGGAGGAGGAGGAGGGCGUCGGGGGCGGGACGUCACGCCGUCGUCCCAUCCCGAUUGGAUCCCCAUCUCAUAACCCCCGUGGCCAUUGGCCGCGCGCGCUGUCCUUCCCGAGAUCUGUCAUCGCCGCCGCUUCCCGCGCCAUUCGGCGUGCACGCGCGUGAGAAGGGACCAGGCACGCAACCGUUAGGAGACUGUCUGGAGUCUGUCUCAAAUUGAUAAAAUUGGAAAUGGAGUUUUACGCGUCUCUGCGCUUCUACGAGGAAGCCGCCUGGUGGGAAAUUGGGAUCUUUGCGCGCCUCCUCAGACGUCUCUUCACCUUGAGUCGCCACGCAUUGACGAAAUGUUUAUUUUCCUUCUUUAGAAAGCAACAACAACAACAAAAAAGAAAGUUUUUUCCCCCCUUUCUGCAGUCCUGCAGCAGACAGCCAGCUCAUUUUGCACAGGGAAUUAUCCCUCAGCCAUGGAGUUCAAGAUGAGUGCAUCGUGCACAAGGCAGCCUGCAAAAGCACAGAAAGCCACUGACAUUGACAGUCACGACUUCAUGUCCGCAACUGGCGAUAGCUGUCAAGAAGAGCCACCGGCGGAAAGUCAGCUGAUCUCAGUCAAGAGAGCUGUGUUGGUGGACUAGGAGGAAGAUGUCACACUAAGGAUGGGGUUUUUUGGCGAUGAUGUUGGUGCUGUUGAUGCAGCAUCGAGCUCUCACUUUGUGCCUCUGUCAGCUAUGAUCCGUAACCAUAAAGUGAGUGACAGGCCAUUCUCCGGGGGGAAAGCAGAGGUCUGAGGGUCACAGGGUGGGUCCUGCCGAACUCCAGCGGGCACUAGGUCACCAACACCUGAAACAGUUCAGGAUCUUUGAAGGAACUUUCUGUCAACAGAAGCUCAGGCUCCUUUCAGAGUCGGCGGAGAAGACUGACCGUCUCGAAGACAGUGCUGGGAGCAGCCCCCGAUCCGCCACAACGCUAGUCGCUGGCCGUUAGACAUGGCGUUCAAAGACUAGUGGUGCAAGUAUGGAAAUGCAGAUAAGGCAUUGUUGGGGAAACAUGCCUGGGAAUUGUUCAAGGCUUUCACUUGCAUAAUGUUUGGAUGCUUUUUUUUUUUUCUUUUUUGCAAAUGUUUUUUUUUUUUUUUUUUUUUUU